This 331-nucleotide unclassified non-coding RNA is filed under the name soil metagenome. Its description in RNAcentral is "partial contains 5.8S ribosomal RNA, internal transcribed spacer 2, and large subunit ribosomal RNA". The stretch from base 1 to 120 matches the Rfam family "5.8S ribosomal RNA", at positions 35 to 154 of the family's 154-position model. The record is from RNAcentral.
GAUGAAGAACGCAGCGAAAUGCGAUAAGUAAUGUGAAUUGCAGAAUUCAGUGAAUCAUCGAAUCUUUGAACGCACAUUGCGCCCCCUGGUAUUCCGGGGGGCAUGCCUGUUCGAGCGUCAUUUCACCACUCAAGCCUCGCUUGGUAUUGGGCAUCGCGGUCCGUCGCGUGCCUCAAAUCGACCGGCUGGGUCUUCUGUCCCCUAAGCGUUGUGGAAACUAUUCGCUAAAGGGUGUUCGGGAGGCUACGCCGUAAAACAACCCCAUUUCUAAGGUUGACCUCGGAUCAGGUAGGGAUACCCGCUGAACUUAAGCAUAUCAAUAAGCGGAGGA